GAAGGAGCCCCAUGGCUUCCUGUACCCUGGACGCUGCCUGGGGAAGGCAGACACGUCUCCCCCAGCCCAGUCUCUCUGCUCAUGAACCCAGUCCCACCAAGUUGCAGAUGCCACUAUGAUUCCACCCUGACUUCCCUGGGCAGACAACUUCACCAAUAUGUCCUGGGACCUCACUUCUCCAGAGCCCUGCCCCACUGGGGAAGAAGAGAAACAGGCUGGGGAGUAGUAUGCCACUGCAUACCUAUACCAGGACUUCUUCCCCAGUACCCUGCCCUUGGACAUCAAGGGAGCAUCCACACUGUGGCUGUGGUGACACAUCCGCUGUGAACACAGGGUGCAGGCAGCCUUCCAGUGACUGCUCCCCGUCCUUGAGUGCUCGCCUAGGAGAGUCAUUGCAGGCUUGGGAGGUCAACACUCAAGCCACUGAACCAUCUUCCGGGCUGCUGACAAGGGAGGAUUCUGAGUCCUGUGGAGGAGGCAGUGGAGCAGAUCAGGAGGCCUCGUGGGCAGAGAGGGUGCUUCCUGGGGAAUGUCCAAAUGUCAGAGUUCACAGUCCAGG
This is a long non-coding RNA of Erinaceus europaeus (western European hedgehog), 559 nucleotides long. RefSeq lists it as uncharacterized. The record is from RefSeq and is a predicted model, not a curated record. The transcript has 4 exons. NCBI's taxonomy places the organism in Eukaryota, Metazoa, Chordata, Mammalia, Eulipotyphla, Erinaceidae.